Thalassophryne amazonica is the source of this 105-nucleotide long non-coding RNA. RefSeq lists it as uncharacterized. The record is from RefSeq and is a predicted model, not a curated record. The transcript is spliced from 3 exons. Lineage: Eukaryota; Metazoa; Chordata; Actinopteri; Batrachoidiformes; Batrachoididae.
CAUUUCUCCAUAGCUUUUCGUGUUGAUUAGGCAGCACAGUGGGCUUAGCGGUUGGCACUGUCGCCUCACAGCAAGAAGGUCAUGGGAUUGAUUUCCGUCUGUGGC